RNAcentral lists this long non-coding RNA (225 nucleotides) under Salvia miltiorrhiza (redroot sage). RNAcentral's name for it is "long non-coding RNA (SMIL_LNC009733)". Lineage: Eukaryota; Viridiplantae; Streptophyta; Magnoliopsida; Lamiales; Lamiaceae. The record is from RNAcentral.
CACAACAACUCAAAUUUAUUAAAAACCCAAAACUCUCGUCUCUCUCAACCCUCUCUCUCUCAUCCGCUCAAUAACAAAAACCCUUAACCUAAUUUUUUCAUUUGCCAUUUCUUGCAGUCACAAACGGAUCACCCCAUCUCCAACUUUUGGGGGAACUACUACCGCAAACCUACUCAUUGUCAGCCGCUGAUUCGUUCUACCACAACAGCCGCUCCAUCUCUCCUC